RNAcentral lists this ribosomal RNA (505 nucleotides) under uncultured bacterium. Its description in RNAcentral is "partial 16S ribosomal RNA". It matches the Rfam family "Bacterial small subunit ribosomal RNA", at positions 28 to 507 of the family's 1533-position model. The record is from RNAcentral.
GACGAACGCUGGCGGCGUGCCUAAUACAUGCAAGUAGAACGCACAGUUUAUACCGUAGCUUGCUACACCAUAGACUGUGAGUUGCGAACGGGUGAGUAACGCGUAGGUAACCUGCCUGGUAGCGGGGGAUAACUAUUGGAAACGAUAGCUAAUACCGCAUCAUAUUAAUUAUUGCAUGAUAAUUAAUUGAAAGGUGCAAUUGCACCACUACCAGAUGGACCUGCGUUGUAUUAGCUAGUAGGUGAGGUAACGGCCCACCUAGGCGACGAUACAUAGCCGACCUGAGAGGGUGAUCGGCCACACUGGGACUGAGACACGGCCCAGACUCCUACGGGAGGCAGCAGUAGGGAAUCUUCGGCAAUGGACGAAAGUCUGACCGAGCAACGCCGCGUGAGUGAAGAAGGUUUUCGGAUCGUAAAGAUCUGUUGUAAGAGAAGAACGGGUGUGAGAGUGGAAAGUUCACACUGUGACGGUAUCUUACCAGAAAGGGACGGCUAACUACGUG